This is a long non-coding RNA of Ictidomys tridecemlineatus (thirteen-lined ground squirrel), 1801 nucleotides long. NCBI's taxonomy places the organism in Eukaryota, Metazoa, Chordata, Mammalia, Rodentia, Sciuridae. The record is from Ensembl.
CUUUCUCUGCUCAGAGACACCCUGUGUUUAGCUUUCAUUUCGAUGGCUGCUGGGUGGUCCCUUUAGGCAGUGUGUCACCAGGAAAGAAGCAGGACAGAGGCCACUGAGAGCCUUCGCCUUCCCAUCCUGGAAGCCCUCCCGGGGGUCUCAGCCUGCACGUCUCUGCUGAGCUGUUUUAUUUUGCCAUCUCAAGCUACAAGGAAGGAGGGGGCCCAAACAUUUCAGCGGAGCAGGUUGCUACACUAGGUGACUCUGGCGUCCACGAGAAUACAGAUGCGGGGGCUGGACGGGGGUCGCGUGGUCAGCAGCUUCCCUUUCCACGAUUUCUCACUGGAGACCCCAAGCUUGGGUCACUCCCAUAUCACUCCAUGAUGACCGUCACCUGGGUAACCACCGUUUAUCUUGUUCCCUCCGUUUUAGAUCCGCGCCCUGGCGGCCUCUCCAGGAGCACGUUGAGGAUGGGCGUGUGGAGCCAGCCACUGACGGAGGAGAUGUCCAGGCGCGGCUGAUCUCACCCACAUCGAAUUUGGAAACCGGAGCCUCGCCUUGGACUCCUUUCUCCAUGACUCAUAACUUUUGUUCAACCUGGAAGGAAUGCCAGCUUGGGAAGAUGGCAGAGCUUUGCUUCAGGGGGAAGGUGGGUCUAAGUCACAGACGUGAGAUUGAGCUGGACCUUCAGAGUGUACUGGGUACACAUCCAUAAUGGUGGCCACAGGCGGGUCUUCAGCCCUGGGGAGCUGGAGUCUUGGGAAACGCAGGUAUCCUUACUAGAAGUGGGAGAGAGGGGCAGGUAGCAUGGGGUCUGUCUAAGGAUGGAGACUUCCUCAGGAAGCCUUGUGAAGGUAAAAGAAGGUAAAAUCACUCCCCAGGUAACCACCCUUAUACCCUCUGCUUCCAGGAAUUCAUGGAUGUGAGAUCACGUGGUACCUGUCUUUCAGUGCCUGAAUUAUUUCACUAGGGUUAUGUCCUUCAGGCUCAUUCGCAGGGUUGCAAGUGAGAGGAUUUCUGUCCUUUUUAUGGCGGAAUAAUAUUCCACUGGGCAUAUUUACUGCGUUCAUCUGCUGUCGGACACCCGGGCCAAUUCUGCAUCUUGGCUGUUGUGUUUCAGUGAACGCGGGAGUGCAGAUGUCUCCAUGACGUACCGUUGGACGUGUACCCAGGAGUGUCAUUGCUGAAUCAUAUGCCAGUUCUGUUUCUUUUUUUUUUUUUUUAUUCAGUAAAUUGUUAAAGUUUAAUUUACUCUUGAAACAAACAACAUUCUUUUAAGAAGCUGUUUUCUUGCUUUUGCACAAGGUCAAUUUAAAGUCAAUCCAGGCAAACAAGAUCAGAAAAAGCAGCAUACUCCUCUAAUCCAUUUAGCAAAUGUUGCAAAUUAGUUUCUACUUGAAUAAUCAAACAGAGAAAUGUCUGAAACUCUACAGUUGGUGUCAGUUUUAACAUGUUGAUGUCAGCCAUGACAGGUAGAAGUAGCCAAGUCCCAUAUACAUGAAGAAGCAGAAAUAAUUGUGAAGACUUAGCAGCUCUUCUAAAGAUUAAAGACAAAUUAUGUUUAUGAGCCAUUUUGCUGUGUGGCAUUCUUCUGAGUUUUAUGUCUCAAACACAAAGGAGCUUGUUGCUGUCUUGGGCAAACAUACUGAAAUUACCUUUCUUUCUUUCUUUUUUAGCUUACUUUCUUGUCUCUAAGGCCAAGUAAAAAAUGUGAAACAUUUUCAUAUACCACAAAGGUAAUACAGCAGGCUGGAGUCACUCUAAUCAAAUUGGGGGCAAUUCCUUUGUAAAAUCCACCGAUGCCUUCUUUCCU